CCGAGCUCGGCCAGCAGGGGUACGGCGUCGACGUGGAGGCCGGCGCUCGCGUUGUCGGGGUUCCACGCCCCGAGUUCGGC
RNAcentral lists this transfer RNA (80 nucleotides) under Streptomyces acidiscabies. RNAcentral describes it as "tRNA-Leu". The record is from RNAcentral. Lineage: Bacteria; Bacillati; Actinomycetota; Actinomycetes; Kitasatosporales; Streptomycetaceae.